RNAcentral lists this ribosomal RNA (266 nucleotides) under uncultured prokaryote. RNAcentral's name for it is "partial 16S ribosomal RNA". It matches the Rfam family "Bacterial small subunit ribosomal RNA", at positions 524 to 788 of the family's 1533-position model. The record is from RNAcentral.
UACGUAGGGUGCGAGCGUUGUCCGGAAUUACUGGGCGUAAAGAGCUCGUAGGUGGUUUGUCGCGUCGUCUGUGAAAUUCCAGGGCUUAACUCCGGGCGUGCAGGCGAUACGGGCAUAACUUGAGUACUGUAGGGGAGACUGGAAUUCCUGGUGUAGCGGUGAAAUGCGCAGAUAUCAGGAGGAACACCGGUGGCGAAGGCGGGUCUCUGGGCAGUAACUGACGCUGAGGAGCGAAAGCAUGGGUAGCGAACAGGAUUAGAUACCCU